This 486-nucleotide ribosomal RNA is filed under the name uncultured bacterium. RNAcentral's name for it is "partial 16S ribosomal RNA". It matches the Rfam family "Bacterial small subunit ribosomal RNA", at positions 30 to 507 of the family's 1533-position model. The record is from RNAcentral.
AUUGAACGCUGGCGGCAUGCCUUACACAUGCAAGUCGAACGGCAGCACGGGUGCUUGCCCCUGGUGGCGAGUGGCGCACGGGUGAGUAAUACAUCGGGACAUGUCCUGUAGUGGGGUAUAGCCCGGCGAAAGCCGGAUUAAUACCGCAUACGAACUUCGGAUGAAAGCGGGGGACCUUCGGGCCUCGCGCUUUGGGGUUGCUCGAUGGCUGAUUAGCUAGUUGGUGGGGUAAUGGCAUACCAAGGCAACGAUCAGUAGCCGGUCUGAGAGGACGACCAGCCACACUGGGACUGAGACACGGCCCAGACUCCUACGGGAGGCAGCAGUGGGGAAUUUUGGACAAUGGGCGAAAGCCUGAUCCAGCAAUGCCGCGUGUGUGAAGAAGGCCUUCGGGUUGUAAAGCACUUUUGUCCGGAAAGAAAUACUUGGCCCUAAUACGGUCGGGGGAUGACGGUACCGGAAGAAUAAGCACCGGCUAACUACGUG